UGGAGUAUGCAUGUCAGUCCAGAAGUUGGUGGUAUAACUGUAAUGUAACUCCACUGAAGAACACAACGUACCUGCACAGACAAGCAUUCUUCAUCAGAGCACGAGAAAGUAAAAGUAACAAGCCCUCCACCUAAAGUGUUCCUUGUUAACAAGAAAUCCUGAAGAUAUCAGUGGAGAGACAGGAGAUGCAUUAACCUCUGUGAACUCUCAACUGAGGGAGUCUGACAGUGAAUUAAUUGGUAUUCAUGCUUAUUGUGAAAUCAUUACUGAGUAUGUUCGAAUGCCUCUUACUUUAAGAAUCUGCAUAACUUCAACAAAAAGGUUAUGUAA
Long non-coding RNA from Notolabrus celidotus (New Zealand spotty), 330 nucleotides. RefSeq lists it as uncharacterized. NCBI's taxonomy places the organism in Eukaryota, Metazoa, Chordata, Actinopteri, Labriformes, Labridae. The transcript is spliced from 3 exons. The record is from RefSeq and is a predicted model, not a curated record.